UAAGCGGAGGAAAAGAAACUAACAAGGAUUCCCCUAGUAACUGCGAGUGAAGCGGGAUGAGCUCAAAUUUAAAAUCUGGCAGUUUUUAACUGUCCGAAUUGUAAUCUAGAGAAGUGUUAUCUGUGCUGGACCAUGUACAAGUCUCCUGGAACGGAGCGUCACAGAGGGUGAUAAUCCCGUAUCUGACAUGGACUGCCAGUGCUUUGUGAUAUGCUCUCAAAGAGUCGAGUUGUUUGGGAAUGCAGCUCUAAAUGGGUGGUAAAUUCCAUCUAAAGCUAAAUAUUGGCAAGAGACCGAUAGCGAACAAGUACCGUGAGGGAAAGAUGAAAAGAACUUUGGAAAGAGAGUUAAACAGUACGUGAAAUUGUUGAAAGGGAAACGCUUGAAGUCAGCUACAUUGGUUAGAGAUCAAUCUUGCUUUUUUAGCUUGAUGUAUUUUCUGAUUCAAUGGGUCAGCAUCAAUUUUAACUGAUGGAAAAAGGCUGAAUGAAUGUAGCAUCUUUUUUAGAUGUGUUAUAGCUUUUGGUCAUAUACAUUGGUUGAGAUUGAGGAAUUCAGCAUGCCGUAAGGUUGGAUUUUAUCACAUUCGUGCUUAGGAUGCUGGCAUAAUGGCUUUAAUCGACCCGUCU
Molecule: ribosomal RNA, 629 nt
Filed under: Pouzarella farinosa
Lineage: Eukaryota; Fungi; Basidiomycota; Agaricomycetes; Agaricales; Entolomataceae
Description: LSU rRNA
Rfam family: Eukaryotic large subunit ribosomal RNA
Source: RNAcentral